AGUGGUACGCGAGCUGGGUUUAGAACGUCGUGAGACAGUUCGGUCCCUAUCUGCCGUGGGCGUAGGAUGAUUGAUUGGGGCUGCUCCUAGUACGAGAGGACCGGAGUGGACGCAUCACUGGUGUUCCGGUUGUGUCGCCAGACGCAUUGCCGGGUAGCUAAAUGCGGAAGAGAUAAGUGCUGAAAGCAUCUAAGCACGAAACUUGCCAAGAGAUGAGUCAUCCCUGACUUUAAGUCAGUAAGGGUUGUUGUAGACUACGACGUAGAUAGGUC
RNAcentral lists this ribosomal RNA (272 nucleotides) under Haemophilus influenzae. RNAcentral's name for it is "partial 23S ribosomal RNA". It matches the Rfam family "Bacterial large subunit ribosomal RNA", at positions 2592 to 2862 of the family's 2925-position model. The record is from RNAcentral. Lineage: Bacteria; Pseudomonadati; Pseudomonadota; Gammaproteobacteria; Pasteurellales; Pasteurellaceae.